GUGUAAGGCAGUUUAUUGAAGCGCUAUCCGGGUAUGGAAAGCUAUCGGUGCCUUAAAUGUAUUGACAACGCGUAAGAAAGUGACCAAUGAGAACAGGCAUUUAUCAACGCGUAAAGAAGACUGUGAUUAGACUACGCGUCUUAAAAACAAUGCGUAAAUUCCAAAUUUACCCGAGGAGGGGGAGUAGACAUCCUAAGUCUGUAGCACUGUUACCAGUUCCAUUGCAAAGUGAGGUUGGAGCCUAUUUAAGCUGCGUGAAUCUACUAGUGGUCAGUCUACAGGUAACCAACGUCUGAGGCAGAUAGUUGUUAUAUUAGUCAAGCAGGCUAUUUGUGUGCCAGCACGAUGUGCCAGCAAAUCGAAGAGCCUCACAACAAAAGAGCCGGGAGUCUAGCUGCGGGAGUUAGCAAGGGGAGGCCUGCACCGAGACGCUGUUGGGAAAGAUCCGAACAGCGCUCUGGAAGAUGCCAUCUACUAGUCAGCUAAGAACCUCGGAGUCACCCUGGACCCCUUCCUCUCUUAUUCCCAGCACAUCACCCUGGCACGCACUUGCCGAUUCUUCCUGAGCAACAUACGAAGAAUCUGACCCUUCUUCACCAACUACGCCACCCACUUCCUGGUCCAGGCCCUGGUACUCUCCCGCCUAGACUACUGCAACUCCCUCCUGGCUGGCCUCCCUUGGUCCGCCACCCGUCCGCUCCAGCUCAUCCAGAACUCCGCAGCUCGCCUGGUGUUCUCUCUGCCUCGCUUCUCCCAUGCAACUCCACUGCUCCGCUCACUCCACUAGCUCCCGAUCACCGCUCGCAUCCAGUUCAAGACUCUUGUACUCGCCUACAGAUGCCUUAACCAGACUGCACCCAGCUACCUCCAGACCCUCAUCUCUCCCUACACCCCCACUCGAUCUCUCCGCUCCUCCUGCACUAGAAGACUGGCUCUACCUCCUCUACGCUCCCCUGCCUCCAGAGCCCGCUUCUUCUCCACCCUCGCCCCACAGUGGUGGAAUGACCUUCCUACAGAUGUCAGGACUGUCCAGUCCCUGACCAUCUUCCGGCGCCUCCUCAAGACUCACCUCUUCAGACAACACCUGUAGAAACUCCUCUUUUCCAUCUGGACACUUAUCACUCUUCCUUAAAUGCACUUUACUUGCUCUUAUUUGCUCCCUAUUUUACUGCAUUUAACCCUGUACUUUAGAGUACUGUAAUCUGUCAAGUGUCAUUUAAUCUGUAGUGUUUUGUAUUUAAUUAUAUCCUGAUGUAACUAUCACUGACACUGUUAUGUGCUCCGUUUUAUUGAAUCGUAUUUUGUCAUAUACUUGUACUUGCUAGAACCGAAGUGAUUGUAUUUUAUCUUGCUCUUAAUUGUAUUUGUACUGUGAUUCUUGAAAUGUAUUUUUGUUUACGACUGUAAGUCGCCCUGGACAAGGGCGUCUGCUAAGGAAUAAAUAAUAAUAAUAAUAAGUGGAGACAGAAAUGUACUGGAACAACAUUAUUUCCGUACUGUUUAGAUUUUAAUGUUCAAAUGGCAGUGCUGAACAAUUGUAACUUUUGUAAAUUGACUUAAUUAUCUGUUCCAUGUUUUAAAAUAAUCCUGAUUAGAAAGAUUAAUCUGCUUGGUAACAUAUAGUGUUAAUUUAUACAAUAAGAUGUCGUACAAGAAGGAAUAGUUAUCUGAAACAGUUGUAAUAAAAAAUUUGAAGUUAUAGCACCCGUGAGGGGCACUGAUUCUUUCUGAUCGGGCUGGGAUCAGACAGGCAGCACACCAGAAGAGAAAUUAGACCACAAUAUUAUGUUAGGCAAUGAACAUCGUUUUAUUAAAUACAGGUAGUAACUAUACUUAACAAAUAGGAAUCAUGAAAUCAGGAACAUCUAUACUGCUCAGCUUCUCCAAAUACAAUCAAUUUACAGGCAUGGGAGCUGCGAACAGGAGAGCAUGAACUAACAGAAAAUAAUGUGCCAAAAUAAAUGUG
Molecule: long non-coding RNA, 1966 nt
Organism: Acipenser ruthenus (sterlet)
Lineage: Eukaryota; Metazoa; Chordata; Actinopteri; Acipenseriformes; Acipenseridae
Exons: 4
Source: RefSeq, a predicted model, not a curated record